AUGCAGGAGGCCCGCUGCCAGCUUUAUAGAAGAAAGACCACAGAGCCACACAGCUCCAGGGACACUGCAAAGGGCCUGACAGGUGGCAGGCAGAACAAGAGCCAUUUCACCAGCAGGAAGGGCCCCAACAUGCAGUCUGGACUGCCUGCUCUCUUGUGCACAGUGGUGGCCUUCAUCCUCUUCGGUUCCAGCAAUACACAGAGUGUCACUCAAACUCCAGAAAGCCAGCCUCCUGCCACACCAUCCGUUUUCAUCAUGCGAAAUGGGACGACGGUUGCUUGUCUGGUGAAGGAUUUCUAUCCUAAGGAUAUAGACAUAAAACUCGAAUCAACCAAAAAACUAGAAGAAUUUGACCCUGCUAUUGUCGUCUCCCCCAGUGGGAAGUACAGUGCUGUCAAGCUUGGUCGGUAUGAAGAUCCAAAUUCGGUGACCUGUUCGGUUGAACACAACAGUAAAGUUGUGAGCUCCACUAAAUUUGAACCAAGGACAAAUUCUUCAGGUACUGUAAAACCAAAACCAACGGAAACUGAAAACAUAAAGCUAACUCCAAAGAGCAUCAGUGAGCCCAAAGCCACAGUUCAUCACAGUUCACAGUUCACAGCCGGGAAUGUAAACAUGCUGUCCCUCACAGUGCUGGGGCUCCGGAUGGUGUUUGCCAAGAGUCUUGCCAUCAAUUUUCUCUUGACUGCCAAGUUAUUUUUCUUUUAAGGCUGACUGGCUUCAGAAGGCUGCCUUAUGAAACUCCCACAUUAUGUCUUCACAAAAGCCUACAGAGGAGCUGUCUCUUAGACUUCUGGCUUCUCGGUGAUUCAAGGUGACCGAUCCCAGUCUUGCUUAAGUGGCUGCUACCCAAACCAUCAAAGCAACAAACCCAGCUCAUUUUCCAGCUUUGUGGAAAGACACAAGUCCUAGGGAGUAGGGUGUUAUGGUCCUAACUGGUCUAUCUGUUGCUUUAUAAAGGGAUAUAGGACUCAUUUUUUUUUAUUAUUAUUUCUACAACAGAUACACUUUGAAAAUAGUGUUUUGUUCCCUUAACUUUCUUUGCCUUCAAAAGUAGAAAGUGGGAGCCAACAGAUUCCCAGCUCCAUACUCCCAGAGGAAAACGGACCCUGGGGGUUGGAGAGAAGAUGCCCUUCACCUAAGAGGAAUGGCUCUUUUCAGCCCAGCACUAGGUUUGCCUCAAGCUGGCAUUCUCAUCCACAAAAGCACUUUCUGCUUUCCUUAGUACUUUACAAACAAAAUUAAAUUUGACUUCUCAUGCAGCCAAUGGGGUUUCUAAAGCGUCAUCUAAAUACUCUCCAAGCUAUUAGCAAAGAUCAGGGUAAAAUACAGAGAAAAUUACUUUUAUCAAUUGACUUCACAAACAUGAAUUGACUCCUUCUAAGUUCCAGGCACCGAGCUGAGGGUGUAAAGAUGAAUGAGAGGUGGGCCUGCUUUCAAGCGACUUACUGUGCAAGCACUUUUAGAGGGAGGGAGAGGAAUGAGACUCCUGGAUUUGGGCUGUAAAAAGAGUAUCUUUACUGGGUUUUGCCUGCCAAUAUAUGCACAGGGAAUUUGAUUUCAGUGGAUGCUGACUCUUGCUUGCCCCUUGUUGUUGAUGGUAUUCUGCCAUUCUCAGUGUUGUCUCUGUUGCAUUUAUUAAAGUGCAUCGAGUGUG
Neofelis nebulosa (Clouded leopard) is the source of this 1657-nucleotide non-coding RNA. Lineage: Eukaryota; Metazoa; Chordata; Mammalia; Carnivora; Felidae. The record is from the annotation of a RefSeq genome assembly.